RNAcentral lists this ribosomal RNA (446 nucleotides) under uncultured bacterium. RNAcentral describes it as "partial 16S ribosomal RNA". It matches the Rfam family "Bacterial small subunit ribosomal RNA", at positions 338 to 795 of the family's 1533-position model. The record is from RNAcentral.
CCUACGGGAGGCAGCAGUCGAGAAUCAUUCACAAUGGGGGAAACCCUGAUGGUGCGACGCCGCGUGGGGGAAUGAAGGUCUUCGGAUUGUAAACCCCUGUCAUGUGGGAGCAAAUUAAAAAGAUAGUACCACAAGAGGAAGAGACGGCUAACUCUGUGCCAGCAGCCGCGGUAAUACAGAGGUCUCAAGCGUUGUUCGGAAUCACUGGGCGUAACGCGUGCGUAGGCUGUUUCGUAAGUCGUGUGUGAAAGGCGCGGGCUCAACCCGCGGACGGCACAUGAUACUGCGAGACUAGAGUAAUGGAGGGGGAACCGGAAUUCUCGGUGUAGCAGUGAAAUGCGUAGAUAUCGAGAGGAACACUCGUGGCGAAGGCGGGUUCCUGGACAUUAACUGACGCUGAGGCACGAAGGCCAGUGGAGCGAAAGGGAUUAGAUACCCCUGUAGUC